AGAACGAACGCUGGCGGCAUGCCUAACACAUGCAAGUCGAACGAAGGCUUCGGCCUUAGUGGCGCACGGGUGCGUAACGCGUGGGAACCUGCCCCUCGGUUCGGAAUAACACAGAGAAAUUUGUGCUAAUACCGGAUGAUGACUUCGGUCCAAAGAUUUAUCGCCGAGGGAUGGGCCCGCGUAGGAUUAGCUUGUUGGUGGGGUAAUGGCCUACCAAGGCGACGAUCCUUAGCUGGUCUGAGAGGAUGAUCAGCCACACUGGGACUGAGACACGGCCCAGACUCCUACGGGAGGCAGCAGUGGGGAAUAUGGACAAUGGGCGAAAGCCUGAUCCAGCAAUGCCGCGUGAGUGAUGAAGGCCUUAGGUUGUAAAGCUCUUUCACCAGGGAUGAUAUAGACAGUACCUAGGAGAAUAAGCUACCGGCUAACCUACCGUGCCAGCAGCCGACGGU
RNAcentral lists this ribosomal RNA (452 nucleotides) under uncultured soil bacterium. RNAcentral's name for it is "bacterial SSU rRNA". It matches the Rfam family "Bacterial small subunit ribosomal RNA", at positions 26 to 521 of the family's 1533-position model. The record is from RNAcentral.